RNAcentral lists this ribosomal RNA (557 nucleotides) under uncultured bacterium. RNAcentral's name for it is "bacterial SSU rRNA". It matches the Rfam family "Bacterial small subunit ribosomal RNA", at positions 102 to 694 of the family's 1533-position model. The record is from RNAcentral.
ACGGGUGAGUAACGCGUGGGAACGUGCCUUUUGGUUCGGAACAACACAGGGAAACUUGUGCUAAUACCGGAUAAGCCCUUACGGGGAAAGAUUUAUCGCCAAAAGAUCGGCCCGCGUCUGAUUAGCUUGUUGGUGAGGUAACGGCUCACCAAGGCUACGAUCAGUAGCUGGUCUGAGAGGAUGAUCAGCCACACUGGGACUGAGACACGGCCCAGACUCCUACGGGAGGCAGCAGUGGGGAAUAUUGGACAAUGGGCGCAAGCCUGAUCCAGCCAUGCCGCGUGAGUGAUGAAGGCCCUAGGGUUGUAAAGCUCUUUCGGCGGGGAAGAUAAUGACGGUACCCGCAUAAGAAGCCCCGGCUAACUUCGUGCCAGCAGCCGCGGUAAUACGAAGGGGGCUAGCGUUGCUCGGAAUCACUGGGCGUAAAGGGUGCGUAGGCGGGUCUUUAAGUCAGAGGUGAAAUCCUGGAGCUCAACUCCAGAACUGCCUUUGAUACUGAGGAUCUUGAGUUCGGGAGAGGUGAGUGGAACUGCGAGUGUAGAGGUGAAAUUCGUAGA